This 460-nucleotide ribosomal RNA is filed under the name uncultured bacterium. RNAcentral's name for it is "partial 16S ribosomal RNA". It matches the Rfam family "Bacterial small subunit ribosomal RNA", at positions 338 to 795 of the family's 1533-position model. The record is from RNAcentral.
CCUACGGGUGGCAGCAGUGAGGAAUAUUGGUCAAUGGGCGCGAGCCUGAACCAGCCAAGUCGCGUGAAGGAUGAAGGCUCUAUGGGUUGUAAACUUCUUUUAUAUGGGAAUAAAGUGAGGAACGUGUUCCUUUUUGUAUGUACCAUAUGAAUAAGCAUCGGCUAACUCCGUGCCAGCAGCCGCGGUAAUACGGAGGAUGCGAGCGUUAUCCGGAUUUAUUGGGUUUAAAGGGUGCGUAGGUGGUUAAUUAAGUCAGCGGUGAAAGUUUGUGGCUCAACCAUAAAAGUGCCGUUGAAACUGGAUGACUGGAGUAUAGGUGAGGUAGGCGGAAUGCGUGGUGUAGCGGUGAAAUGCAGAGAUAGCACGCAGAACUCCGAUGGCGAAGGCAGCUUACUAAACUAUAACUGACGCUGAGGCACGAAAGCGUGGGGAUCAAACAGGAUUAGAUACCCCAGUAGUC